Molecule: long non-coding RNA, 795 nt
Filed under: Sorghum bicolor (sorghum)
Lineage: Eukaryota; Viridiplantae; Streptophyta; Magnoliopsida; Poales; Poaceae
Description: long non-coding RNA (SBIC_LNC004469)
Source: RNAcentral
GCAAACAUAUAAGUCAUUGUAUUAUGAGAUAUCGUAGGUUCAUGUUUAAAACCCCAAUACCUAACCCUUGCUACCUUGUCCAAAUUAUUAAAUAAUUUAAAACUCUAUGUUGGGUAAAACUUGUGGUGUGUGCACAUCUAUUCAAAUCAAUUCACAUGCGUUGAGGUGGAUUGGAAUGUAGAUUAGUUUUAGUUUAACUCAAACACUUGUUGAUUGAAAUGAAUAAAUGUGCAUCCAAACAAGGCCUAGGGGGCCUGCAUCUGUGUAAAACCCUGUGAUCUUUUCGUGUAGAUCCUGUGUAGAUUAGAAUUCACCGGCCGCAGAGCACCUCUGUUUAGCCCUUCUUACCAACCUUUGACGGCUUGCGUUCUCAACCUGAUAUUCACAUGCAAUUCACCCGUUAUUUGCAACCUCAUCUAUUUUCACUGCAGUUCUACACGUCAUAGGUUCUAUUGGAAACUGGAACUGUUCCUGAUGAGACCUCUGCAUAUAUGCUUUGCGAAUUGCCCCAUCUUUGAAGGUUAGGCCCAACCAAGUAUCCCCUCUAGCUCUUCGCUCACUCAAAGGACAUGCUAGCCAUAUAACUCGUAGAUGGGAAGAAUAUGGAACAAAAUCAGCAGAUUUGUAAAAAGGAAAUCAUACAAAAAAAUACCACUCAAUUUUCAUUCACUUAUUUUUUUUUGUUUGACUUUUGCUUUGGUCAAUUCGACGUGUCCACUUCAACAGUUUGUUGUGAUGCCAUGACUCUCACAUCGGAUCCAAUCUUUAAUUUUGUAUCGCAUUCACCUAUACCUU